GGUAUAGACCCGAAACCGGGCGAUCUAACCAUGAGCAGGUUGAAGAUUGAGUAACAUCAAUUGGAGGACCGAACCCACUAAUGUUGAAAAAUUAGGGGAUGACUUGUGGCUAGGAGUGAAAGGCUAAUCAAGCCCGGAGAUAGCUGGUUCUCCCCGAAAUCUAUUUAGGUAGAGCCUCGGACGAAUACCAUUGGGGGUAGAGCACUGUUUGGGCUAGGGGGUCAUCCCGACUUACCAACCCCAUGCAAACUCCGAAUACCAAUGAGUACUAUCCGGGAGACACACGGCGGGUGCUAACGUCCGUCGUGAAGAGGGAAACAACCCAGACCGCCAGCUAAGGUCCCGAAGUUAUGGCUCAGUGGGAAACGAUGUGGGAAGGCAGAGACAGCUAGGAGGUUGGCUUAGAAGCAGCCACCCUUUAAAGAAAGCGUAAUAGCUCACUAGUCGAGUCGGCCUGCGCGGAAGAUGUAACGGGGCUAAGCCAUACACCGAAGCUGCGGCUGCAUACUUAUGUAUGCGGGGUAGGGGAGCGUUCUGUAAGUGGGUGAAGGUGUGUUGAGAAGCACGCUGGACAUAUCAGAAGUGCGAAUGCUGACAUGAGUAACGAUAAUGGGAGUGAAAAACUCCCACGCCGGAAGACCAAGGUUUCCUAUCCCAUGCUAAUCAGGGUAGGGUAAGUCGGCCCCUAAGGCGAGGCGGAAACGCGUAGUCGAUGGAAAACAGGUUAAUAUUCCUGUACCG
This 741-nucleotide ribosomal RNA is filed under the name Idiomarina abyssalis. Its description in RNAcentral is "partial 23S ribosomal RNA". It matches the Rfam family "Bacterial large subunit ribosomal RNA", at positions 706 to 1446 of the family's 2925-position model. Lineage: Bacteria; Pseudomonadati; Pseudomonadota; Gammaproteobacteria; Alteromonadales; Idiomarinaceae. The record is from RNAcentral.